This 253-nucleotide ribosomal RNA is filed under the name uncultured bacterium. RNAcentral's name for it is "partial 16S ribosomal RNA". It matches the Rfam family "Bacterial small subunit ribosomal RNA", at positions 524 to 776 of the family's 1533-position model. The record is from RNAcentral.
UACGUAGGGUGCGAGCGUUGUCCGGAUUUAUUGGGCGUAAAGAGUGUGUAGGCGGUGUUCUAAGUUUGUCGUGAAAUCUCCCGGCUUAACUGGGAGGGUGCGGCGAAAACUGGAAUGCUAGAGGAUGGGAGAGGUAAGCGGAAUUCCUGGUGUAGCGGUGAAAUGCGUAGAUAUCAGGAGGAACACCUGUGGUGUAGACAGCUUACUGGACCAUUUCUGACGCUGAGACACGAAAGCGUGGGUAGCAAACAGG